AGUGGGGAAUAUUGCACAAUGGGCGCAAGCCUGAUGCAGCCAUGCCGCGUGUGUGAAGAAGGCCUUCGGGUUGUAAAGCACUUUCAGCAGUGAGGAAGGCGGGUACGUUAAUAGCGUAUUCGUUUGACGUUAGCUGCAGAAGAAGCACCGGCUAACUCCGUGCCAGCAGCCGCGGUAAUACGGAGGGUGCGAGCGUUAAUCGGAAUUACUGGGCGUAAAGCGCAUGCAGGUGGUUAGUUAAGUCAGAUGUGAAAGCCCGGGGCUCAACCUCGGAACUGCAUUUGAAACUGGCUGACUAGAGUACUGUAGAGGGGGGUAGAAUUUCAGGUGUAGCGGUGAAAUGCGUAGAGAUCUGAAGGAAUACCGGUGGCGAAGGCGGCCCCCUGGACAGAUACUGACACUCAGAUGCGAAAGCGUGGGGAGCAAA
RNAcentral lists this ribosomal RNA (427 nucleotides) under uncultured Vibrio sp. RNAcentral's name for it is "bacterial SSU rRNA". It matches the Rfam family "Bacterial small subunit ribosomal RNA", at positions 353 to 772 of the family's 1533-position model. The record is from RNAcentral. Lineage: Bacteria; Pseudomonadati; Pseudomonadota; Gammaproteobacteria; Vibrionales; Vibrionaceae.